This 916-nucleotide ribosomal RNA is filed under the name uncultured Planctomycetota bacterium. Its description in RNAcentral is "bacterial SSU rRNA". It matches the Rfam family "Bacterial small subunit ribosomal RNA", at positions 8 to 916 of the family's 1533-position model. Lineage: Bacteria; Pseudomonadati; Planctomycetota. The record is from RNAcentral.
AGAGUUUGAUCCUGGCUCAGAUUGAACGCUGGCGGCAUGCCUUACACAUGCAAGUCGAACGGCAGCACGGGUGCUUGCACCUGGUGGCGAGUGGCGAACGGGUGAGUAAAGUAUCGGAACGUACCUUUCAGUGGGGGAUAACGUAGCGAAAGUUACGCUAAUACCGCAUAUUCUGUGAGCAGGAAAGCAGGGGAUCUUCGGACCUUGCGCUGAUUGAGCGGCCGAUAUCAGAUUAGCUAGUUGGUGAGGUAAAGGCUCACCAAGGCGACGAUCCGUAGCGGGUCUGAGAGGAUGAUCCGCCACACUGGGACUGAGACACGGCCCAGACUCCUACGGGAGGCAGCAGUGGGGAAUUUUGGACAAUGGGGGCAACCCUGAUCCAGCCAUGCCGCGUGAGUGAAGAAGGCCUUCGGGUUGUAAAGCUCUUUCGGCCGGGAAGAAAUCGUGUGGGCUAAUACCCUGCAUGGAUGACGGUACCGGAAUAAGAAGCACCGGCUAACUACGUGCCAGCAGCCGCGGUAAUACGUAGGGUGCGAGCGUUAAUCGGAAUUACUGGGCGUAAAGCGUGCGCAGGCGGUUUUGUAAGACAGGCGUGAAAUCCCCGGGCUUAACCUGGGAACUGCGCUUGUGACUGCAAGGCUAGAGUACGGCAGAGGGGGGUGGAAUUCCACGUGUAGCAGUGAAAUGCGUAGAGAUGUGGAGGAACACCGAUGGCGAAGGCAGCCCCCUGGGCCGAUACUGACGCUCAUGCACGAAAGCGUGGGUAGCAAACAGGAUUAGAUACCCUGGUAGUCCACGCCCUAAACGAUGUCAACUAGGUGUUGGGUGGGUAAAACCAUUUAGUACCGUAGCUAACGCGUGAAGUUGACCGCCUGGGGAGUACGGCCGCAAGGUUAAAACUCAAAGGAAUUGACGG